Rosa chinensis is the source of this 1104-nucleotide long non-coding RNA. RefSeq lists it as uncharacterized. The record is from RefSeq and is a predicted model, not a curated record. NCBI's taxonomy places the organism in Eukaryota, Viridiplantae, Streptophyta, Magnoliopsida, Rosales, Rosaceae. The transcript is spliced from 3 exons.
GAGUUAGUCCCGACCCGAAUAGAUUUCCGACCCGGUUUCGCCCCCAGCUCCGGCCCUAUCCGGCGUUCCUCCGACCCGAUUCUGGCAUGAUUCAAGCCGGAUUUUCCGGCUCCUUGUUGCUUCGAGAAUCUUCGGAUUCUCCCUAGAUUACUCCGGGAUUCAUAGCCGCAUUAUCCCUAUAAAGAAGAUCCCAAUUUCAGUUGGUUUCUCACACCCAUCUUCCAACUUCAUCGGCAACACCUCCCUUCAAAGACACCGACGCCGUCACUUGUCCACCUUGCUUUGCUCACGCCUAGUUCGAACCCAGGACCGAUUCUUCUUCGCCAGUCCCUAGUCUAGCCUUGCUUUGCAGGAAUCCAAACCCAGAGCCGUCGCUUUCCCUGGCUUCCCUGUGCCCCGUUCGGGCCGUGCGGCCCAGCUUUGGCAAUCCAGCUCCUCGUCGGCGUUGCCUCUGACAGCCGGCCUCUGUCGUCGAGUCAUGCCCCAGGCUCAGCUAAGCCGACCUCGAGUUUUUCCCUGCACUCAUGGCUCGUAUCAAGAUUUUUGACUCGGCGAAAGUUCAGAAGAGAAGUCCAGAAGAAGUUAAGGAGUCGGUGUCUUGGAUCCCAACGGAUUGCGACAACGAAAAGUACAUCAAGGAGUACUCCAUACCGAAAUCUGUUAAGUUCUCGCUUGUUCCUGCUAAUGUUACAUGAAACGCGGGACGUUGCGGUACGGGUACGCGGUACGCUAGUCUUUAGGAUUCACGUGGGAGGCUUGGCCAUCACGCCUGUCUAAGUCCUUAUUUUGAAGUGCCGCUUGAGUCUCUUCCUCUUGCAAAUUUGGAUAUAUGAGUUUGAUGCGUUCCUGGCCGAAUCGGUUGUGCAUUGAGAAUGGGUGGAAUAGGUCUGCUUGAUGUAUUCUUGGUACGCAAUGAAUCUUCCUCAUCAACAUAGUUUCCGUCUAACAUUCUCCAUCGCAAGUCUUCCAAUCUCAAUGGUGAUUUUGGAUUAAUGUCUCAUCUCUUAUAAGUUCCAUUAUUGUAGUAUUCAGAGAAACGUGAAAGAAGACGAAUAUCGGAAUGAAUAAAAACCAAUUUAUCAGCUCUUUCAGCAUUCAGCCUAU